CUACGGGGCGCUCCAGUGAGGAAUUUUGCGCAAUGGGGGGAACCCUGACGCAGCAACGCCGUGUGAGUGAAGAAGGCCUUUGGGUCGUAAAGCUCUGUCAACUGGGAAGAAGUUACUAUGCUUAAAUAGAGUGUAGUAUUGACGGUACCAGUGGAGGAAGCGUCGGCUAACUCCGUGCCAGCAGCCGCGGUAACACGGGGGACGCAAGCGUUAUUCGGAAUUAUUGGGCGUAAAGGGCGCGUAGGCGGUCUUGUCGGUCAGGUGUGAAAGCCCGGGGCUCAACCCCGGACGUGCACUUGAAACAGCAAGACUUGAGUACGGGAGAGGAAAGCGGAAUUCCUGGUGUAGAGGUGAAAUUCGUAGAUAUCAGGAGGAACACCGAUGGCGAAGGCAGCUUUCUGGACCGAAACUGACGCUGAGGCGCGAAGGCGUGGGUAGCGAACGGGAUUAGAUACCCGUGUACUC
Molecule: ribosomal RNA, 465 nt
Filed under: uncultured bacterium
Lineage: Bacteria
Description: partial 16S ribosomal RNA
Rfam family: Bacterial small subunit ribosomal RNA
Source: RNAcentral